RNAcentral lists this ribosomal RNA (439 nucleotides) under uncultured bacterium. RNAcentral's name for it is "partial 16S ribosomal RNA". It matches the Rfam family "Bacterial small subunit ribosomal RNA", at positions 354 to 796 of the family's 1533-position model. The record is from RNAcentral.
GUGGGGGAUAUUGCACAAUGGGGGAAACCCUGAUGCAGCGACGCCGCGUGAGUGAAGAAGUAUUUCGGUAUGUAAAGCUCUAUCAGCAGGGAAGAAAGACCCGCAAGGGGGAUGACGGUACCUGAGUAAGAAGCCCCGGCUAACUACGUGCCAGUAGCCGCGGUAAUACGUAGGGGGCAAGCGUUAUCCGGAUUUACUGGGUGUAAAGGGAGCGCAGACGGUUAUGCAAGUCUGGAGUGAAAACCCACAGCUCAACUGUGGGCUUGCUUUGGAAACUGUGUAACUGGAGUACUGGAGAGGUAAGCGGAAUUCCUAGUGUAGCGGUGAAAUGCGUAGAUAUUAGGAGGAACACCGGUGGCGAAGGCGGCUUACUGGACAGCAACUGACGUUGAGGCUCGAAGGCGUGGGGAGCAAACAGGAUUAGAAACCCUGGUAGUCC